UAACAGUUGGUGACUGUGUGAUGAUUUUACGAUGUAAAGCACUUUGUUGCUGAAAUGUUGCUCUACAAAUAAACUUGACUGUAACCUUUCUCUCCUUUAAAGCCAUUAUUCUCCCAGCAUAAUAACUCGUAGCGUACAGUGGGGCACAUCUGUGAAAUCACAGAGUUUAAGGCAAAAGCAAACGCACAAACACAUCCUCAUGCACACGGUGGAGAGAUUUAGGGCACGCUAGCACCCGGAUGAUGAAUGAAGCCCACACACGGCUGGAAAACAGAACAGGACCGCUCCGACCUUGGCUGCAAACACACAGGGGAGCGGCGGAGCGGCGCGCCCGUCCAGAAGCUCCGAUUCGACACACAGGAAGUGGUGGACGGCGGGCCGCUGAGGCCAAUGAUGAACGAGGGGGACGCAGUCGCAGGAACACCUCGGCGCCCUUCCUGAAGGUGUGAUAAAUCUAGCCGGAGCCGCUGCUGGGUUCCAGUAAAAGGACAUGUGAUCCAUGAAAGGCGAUACAGGAAGUGAUGAACACGAGCCACGGCGCUGAUAAUGGCCCAGAAUCCGUCCCGCAGCGUCCGGCGCGCUGAACUCUGACUCAUCCGAGAUGUAAUCUGUCCGCCGCGCGGCGAGCUCCAUUACGACCGGACGGCGCUGACAAUUAAACCACUCAUCGAUAUAUACAACCCUCUCAUCGAUCAAAACGCAGCUAUCAACGCCGCCCCCCAGUGGCCGAACGGGGCCGGAGACGAGACGACAGCCAAACGAUCCAUAAACAUAAUGGACAUCAAUAUUGAAAAGAUGACAGAUGAGGCUGCCAGCAGAGGCCGGGAUUCAAUUUCUAUUCUUCUUUUUUCCUGCAGGAGGCCGGAUCGCUUUUCACAAAGUCAUUUAUCAGCCGGCAGGCCGACGGCGAGAAGCCGAGCCGCAACAUGUGAGCCGACGGCUGACGCAAACGACAAAAUGAAUCAGGCGCGCAACAAUAAUGACUGAGAUAUAAGUAAUGAUGGCAUCCAGAGCGCAGUGGGCUCCCUGCCUGUGAGAGCGCCACAGCGACAGAACAUCAGACCCACCGAAGGCUCCGACUGAACCCACGGCGUCGCUACCAUGGUUUAUAAUCCAGGAUGUAAUCUGACCCCUGGCUGACCUGGCAACCUGCAGCCCAACUGAUCAGACCUUCAUGUUCUGCUUAAGCUGCUGAUAAUUUUAUACGAUUUUAUUCUUCGUAACAAAUUUUAAAUAGGAAGAAAUCAAAUAAAAUGCAAUAAUAUUAAAAAUAUCAAUUAUAAAAAGAAAUUGAAGAAAUUUUUUAAAGAAAUCUGAAGGAAGCGAAACAUA
Long non-coding RNA from Xiphophorus couchianus (Monterrey platyfish), 1332 nucleotides. RefSeq lists it as uncharacterized. The transcript is spliced from 3 exons. NCBI's taxonomy places the organism in Eukaryota, Metazoa, Chordata, Actinopteri, Cyprinodontiformes, Poeciliidae. The record is from RefSeq and is a predicted model, not a curated record.